AUCUCCUAUUUCCCACACAGAUCUAAAAGCAAGGUUGGUCUUUAGUUUCUCUUACUUUCGGUAAAACUCUGCGGAUGAAAUCUUACUCUCAUAGGUCUCGUCAGCAACAGAGUUUACUGAUAAAGAAUCAGAAAAGCAUGACGAAUCUGAUGAUGGAGAACAAGAGAAGCAACAAGGGCUAAAGCAAGAACGUGAGAGUUUGGAGAAGAAAAGAUGAAGAAGGGUUGAGAGGAAGAACAAGCAGAAUUAGUUGACGAUUUGAGUGUAGUAAAACAAAGAAAAUAGAGACAAUGAUAACAUGAUGGAACUAUCAUAUUCGGCUAUCGCAAAGCUUGAUCAAGCAAAACAGAAUGAGAUCCAACAUUCUUCAUAAAAAUUAGAAGGUUAUCUACUUUACUUCGUCUUUGUUACUCUUGAUGGUUUUGGUUUUGGCAAUUUCAGUUCCAAACUAAUUCAGGCUAUCCACAAGCUUUCCUUUCGGCAUCAAGACUUCAAGGACUAUUGUUGCUUUGGAGAAGGCAGUGAAGUGAGAAUUGCUUGGAAUGAGACAACCUAAGUUCUUUGAAGGAGAGAAAGAGCAAGCUAAUGGGAAGGCAACGCACAUAGAGGGGAUGAGAUUGAAGUUGUCUUUAGAAUGUUAGCUUUAUUUUGUUUAAAACUUGGUAUGAUGUUAUGUUAAAAUGGAUAAUGUAAUAAUAUUGUUAUGUAUGUUGAUGAUUUAUGAAAUAUAAACAUUAUAUUAUAAAUCCAAUUAAA
Molecule: long non-coding RNA, 756 nt
Organism: Arabidopsis lyrata subsp. lyrata
Lineage: Eukaryota; Viridiplantae; Streptophyta; Magnoliopsida; Brassicales; Brassicaceae
Exons: 2
Source: RefSeq, a predicted model, not a curated record